UACGAAGGGGGCUAGCGUUGUUCGGAAUCACUGGGCGUAAAGGGCGCGUAGGCGGCCGAUCAAGUCGGGGGUGAAAGCCUGUGGCUCAACCACAGAAUUGCCUUCGAUACUGUUUGGCUUGAGACCGGAAGAGGUUAGUGGAACUGCGAGUGUAGAGGUGAAAUUCGUAGAUAUUCGCAAGAACACCAGUGGCGAAGGCGGCUGACUGGUCCGGUUCUGACGCUGAGGAGCGAAAGCGUGGGGAGCGAACAGG
Molecule: ribosomal RNA, 253 nt
Filed under: uncultured bacterium
Lineage: Bacteria
Description: partial 16S ribosomal RNA
Rfam family: Bacterial small subunit ribosomal RNA
Source: RNAcentral